UGGGAACUGCGUUNUGAACUGGGUAGCUAGAGUAUNUCAGAGGGGGGUAGAAUUCCACGUGUAGCAGUGAAAUGCGUAGAGAUGUGGAGGAAUACCGAUGGCGAAGGCAGCCCCCUGGGAUAAUACUGACGUUCAUGCUCGAAAGCGUGGGUAGCAAACAGGAUUAGAUACCCUGGUAGUCCACGCCCUAAACGAUGUCGAUUAGCUGUUGGGCAGCUUGACUGCUUAGUAGCGUAGCUAACGCGUGAAAUCGACCGCCUGGGGAGUACGGUCGCAAGAUUAAAACUCAAAGGAAUUGACGGGGACCCGCACAAGCGGUGGAUGAUGUGGAUUAAUUCGAUGCAACGCGAAGAACCUUACCUGGUCUUGACAUGUACGGAACCCUCCAGAGACGGAGGGGUGCCUUCGGGAACCGUAACACAGGUGCUGCACGGCUGUCGUCAGCUCGUGUCGUGAGAUGUUGGGUUAAGUCCCGCAACGAGCGCAACCCUUGUCAUUAGUUGCCAUCAUUCAGUUGGGCACUCUAAUGAGACUGCCGGUGACAAACCGGAGGAAGGUGGGGAUGACGUCAAGUCCUCAUGGCCCUUAUGACCAGGGCUUCACACGUCAUACAAUGGUCGGUACAAAGGGUAGCCAAGCCGCGAGGCGGAGCCAAUCUCAUAAAACCGAUCGUAGUCCGGAUUGCACUCUGCAACUCGAGUGCAUGAAGUCGGAAUCGCUAGUAAUCGCAGGUCAGCAUACUGCGGUGAAUACGUUCCCGGGUCUUGUACACACCGCCCGUCACACCAUGGGAGUGGGGGAUACCAGAAGU
Molecule: ribosomal RNA, 811 nt
Filed under: uncultured bacterium
Lineage: Bacteria
Description: bacterial SSU rRNA
Rfam family: Bacterial small subunit ribosomal RNA
Source: RNAcentral